This 3053-nucleotide unclassified non-coding RNA is filed under the name Caenorhabditis elegans. Its description in RNAcentral is "hlh-1 gene 5', noncoding region". The record is from RNAcentral. Lineage: Eukaryota; Metazoa; Nematoda; Chromadorea; Rhabditida; Rhabditidae.
GAAUUCUGUGAAAUAAGCGUUUUUUGGGAUUCUGAAUGAUUUUUUUCUGUAUAUAUUUUCAUUUUCGAUUAGUUAGUGUGUAAUAUGUGUUCUUCAAUGAAGAUUUUAAUGCUUUAAUUUUGUUUUGUAAACUUCGAAUUUCCAAAAUUUGAAAUUCACAGUUUGGCAGUGGACUGGCGUAGAUUUAUAUUUUUCUAGGCCAUAUAAUAUAGGUCGUGGUGAGACCCAACAUUAGAUUUUUUGCAAUCAAAGUCCUGAAACUUUUCUUUAUCUCUUUUCUGUUUAAUUUCAUUUUAUCACCCAAUUUUACGUGCUCCUCCGGAGACCGCCAAAUUUAUUGGAAAAGAUACAUGUUCUGGUGUCUCGGUCUUCUGCUGGUUUACAACGUGAAUGUGCUCCUCCCGAAGAGUCUGCAAAAUACCUGAACUCAAGUCUCCUCACAUGAUUUACGAUACCUCCCGCAUUCGGAGAGCCUAUAGGGGGUGUCUGGCGAAUGGGUGAGAAAUGAGGGUGAAAAGGGGGUGUAAACUUGGAAAAGGAAAGAAGAAGACAUAUUUAUGACAGUCCAUGACUUUUUGACGGUCCGAUGGUUUAUGGCUAUGGGGAUGACAAUGCGAACAACUGACGACAAAAAUAAGGUGAGAAGAGAUUUUUGAGAGAUUUUUGGAUGGGUGAGAAAUCUGAGAAGACUUUAUUCGAAUUGUUCAUAUUUUUUAGAAUUUUGUAAAAAAUACUUCUGCUGUUAAAAAUGGAAAACCUCUAGAGCUCUGUGGAAGCACAAAAAUCAAGAAAUCUCGCGUGAAAAUAGUGAAAAAUUUACUAACGUUGUGAACAUAUUCACACUUUGAAGAUUUUCAGUGAAUUGGCUUUAAAGGUUAGCUUUUAUAACUUCAAAAUGACUAAAUAUAAAAAUACAUCACUCCAAAAAAAUGUUAAUUAAAAGAUGUUUUAAACGUCUAACUUUAAAUUAUUUGUUUAAUCAGAAUUUGCAAAAAAAUUAAAUUUAGUAUUUAUUUAAAUGUUUCUAAACACAACUGUUCAUUUUCACGCUCUUAUUUCAGGAAAAUUUUUUCAAAACUGUAAAACAAAAACCAUUUUUCACAGAAUCUAAGGGUAUCUGAAAGCUUAAAAUAACUUCAGAAAGAUAUCAAUUCCAGCUGUUUAGUACCUGAACUGUCUGUAAACGUUUCUUCUCGAAUUAUAGAAAAUUUUCCACUUUUUCAAGUUCAGGUUUUCAAGAAACCCCACGAUUUCCACUCAUCGUUUCCAAUGUCCAAUUUCCCAUCCAAUUUGCCGCACUCUGACCCAAUGACUUGUUCCUUUGCCAAUCAAUGCUACCUAAUAAAUUUAAAAGUUUAACACGCAUCCAAUUGACACACAGGUAACAGCCCUUUCUUCUUUUACAUAAUUCGGAAAUCUUCAAAGAGCCGAAGGUGUCGGUUGUAGCAGCAGCGGAGGAACGGAUGCCAAUUGCGCAACUCUCGGCUCAACUCUUUUAGUGCUCCGAGAGCAGGAAGAAGAAUACUGUUGGGUUGUAAUAAAGACGGAUGUUUUUGUUCAUAGUAGAUUAGCUCAGUGUUUGAUUGGAUUUGACCGGAUCAAGAGGGGAAUGUCCUGGUGGAAUUAAAUUUUAUUAGAAUAAAUUGUAUUUGGUGUUUAAAUUCGAAUCAAUAAUAUUUAUGAGCUUUAAUGAAUAAGUGUUAGAUUAUAUAAUUCUAUAAUUUUUGAACAAGCAAUUCAAAAAGAAAACAAAUUUUAGUAACCUCCGAAAUCAAGCUGGGUGGCCUCUAGAAGUUUUGAAAAAACUAUUUUUAUAUUCUGUUGGAGUUUUUUUAAGUUUUAUAAUUAUAGGUUAAUCUUUCUAAUUUGUAAGCUUUUUCUUAACCAAUUUUUUUUGUUAACAUUUUUUUGGAAUUAUGCUAUAUGACCUAUACCUAAAACAGUUUAAAAGUUUAAAAAAAUUUUCUAUAUUUUUCACUUCGUAUUGAACCUCCUGGGUACAUAUAUUGACAGCACAUAUCUUGUUUGUCUCAGAUUUUAUCAAAUAAGUUUAACAAGUAAACCAUGCACCAAAUAUUUUUCUAGGUCUCUGUAGUUAGGAAAUAUUUAAUAAAAAUAAAAAUAACCGAGAUAUGAGCCAUCAAAGUAGAUCAAUUAAGGCACAGGAAAAAAGAUCUGAAUAAAAUCGAAGUUCUUAAAAAUAUAAAUCAAAACAAAUUUUUUCCAGAAUUUCAGCCGAGAAUUUCCAGCCGAUUUGUUUAUAUUUUCCACAUCACUCCCCACACUUCUCUCACACAAACACGAUAAAAUCUUGAGAAGCAAUUAGCGCCAAUCAACUCAACACAAAAAGCAAAAGCCAACGAAAAGCUAAAGCUAUCAUCGUUGUCGCGUCUAUGAGCAACUCAAUCGUUCAUCAUCCUCAUCUUCAGAGUGCUCAAACCUACCGUAACCCGAAUUGGGCGGAGCCAAAGGGUCCGAAACAGUGCACCAGGGCGGGGAGGGCACCUGAGAAACGAGAGGGAAGUGAGCAAUUGUUGAAGUGUCAGUUGUGCUCAUCGAGGUCCGAUGAAGAGACGCGCCUGCUCACCUACACAACUGACUUCCCCCAUAUACCUUUUUCUAGAAUUUCCUUUUUUAGAUUUAUACGGUCAGGUAAAAAGGUAGAGUUUUACAGUGUAGAAAUUAGGAAAUUGCUCAAAAAGCCGAGCAGAAUGCAUAUAAGAAGUACCAUAGCCCCAAAGAUUCGAUUUUCCAGGGUUCAAUCAAUUUUUGUACUUUGACAGCGUAUAUCUCAGUUUUCUUUGAUUUUAUCAAAAACUAGUCAACUGACAAAAUACUUGAAAAGUAUUCCUUUAUAUUUUGGUAGCUGACCAUUGUUUGUUAAAAUAUAAGGGAAUCGAAAUGUCGGUUAUCAAAGUAGAACCUAACCUAAAUCGCUAUAUAUGCUAUUUUUCAAAAAAAAAAACACGUUUUACUUUGUCUCAACUUAUUAAUAUUCUUUAAUAUUUUUUCUAUUUCUACCAUUUUCCAAAUUUUCCAAUAAUUUUCCAGAA